This 743-nucleotide ribosomal RNA is filed under the name uncultured bacterium. RNAcentral describes it as "bacterial SSU rRNA". It matches the Rfam family "Bacterial small subunit ribosomal RNA", at positions 35 to 760 of the family's 1533-position model. The record is from RNAcentral.
GCUGGCGGCGUGCCUAAUACAUGCAAGUCGAGCGAACGGACGAGAAGCUUGCUUCUCUGAUGUUAGCGGCGGACGGGUGAGUAACACGUGGAUAACCUACCUAUAAGACUGGGAUAACUUCGGGAAACCGGAGCUAAUACCGGAUAAUAUUUUGAACCGCAUGGUUCAAAAGUGAAAGACGGUCUUGCUGUCACUUAUAGAUGGAUCCGCGCUGCAUUAGCUAGUUGGUAAGGUAACGGCUUACCAAGGCAACGAUGCAUAGCCGACCUGAGAGGGUGAUCGGCCACACUGGAACUGAGACACGGUCCAGACUCCUACGGGAGGCAGCAGUGGGGAAUCUUCCGCAAUGGGCGAAAGCCUGACGGAGCAACGCCGCGUGAGUGAUGAAGGUCUUCGGAUCGUAAAACUCUGUUAUUAGGGAAGAACAUAUGUGUAAGUAACUGUGCACAUCUUGACGGUACCUAAUCAGAAAGCCACGGCUAACUACGUGCCAGCAGCCGCGGUAAUACGUAGGUGGCAAGCGUUAUCCGGAAUUAUUGGGCGUAAAGCGCGCGUAGGCGGUUUUUUAAGUCUGAUGUGAAAGCCCACGGCUCAACCGUGGAGGGUCAUUGGAAACUGGAAAACUUGAGUGCAGAAGAGGAAAGUGGAAUUCCAUGUGUAGCGGUGAAAUGCGCAGAGAUAUGGAGGAACACCAGUGGCGAAGGCGACUUUCUGGUCUGUAACUGACGCUGAUGUGCGAAAGC